This 65-nucleotide transfer RNA is filed under the name Arctotanais alascensis. RNAcentral's name for it is "tRNA-Val". Lineage: Eukaryota; Metazoa; Arthropoda; Malacostraca; Tanaidacea; Tanaididae. The record is from RNAcentral.
AGAGAAAGAGCAUGAAUAUUAUGUGUUUUAUUUACGAUAAAAAGUACCUUUUAAAGGUUUCUCUA